This 670-nucleotide ribosomal RNA is filed under the name bacterium L-13-296. RNAcentral's name for it is "bacterial SSU rRNA". It matches the Rfam family "Bacterial small subunit ribosomal RNA", at positions 90 to 751 of the family's 1533-position model. The record is from RNAcentral.
GGCGAGUGGCGAACGGGUGAGUAAUAUAUCGGAACGUGCCCUGGAGUGGGGGAUAACGCAGCGAAAGUUGCGCUAAUACCGCAUACGAUCUAAGGAUGAAAGCAGGGGACCGCAAGGCCUUGUGCUCCUGGAGCGGCCGAUAUCUGAUUAGCUAGUUGGUGGGGUAAAGGCCUACCAAGGCAUCGAUCAGUAGCUGGUCUGAGAGGACGACCAGCCACACUGGAACUGAGACACGGUCCAGACUCCUACGGGAGGCAGCAGUGGGGAAUUUUGGACAAUGGGCGCAAGCCUGAUCCAGCAAUGCCGCGUGAGUGAAGAAGGCCUUCGGGUUGUAAAGCUCUUUUGUCAGGGAAGAAACGGUGUGGGCUAAUAUCCUGUACUAAUGACGGUACCUGAAGAAUAAGCACCGGCUAACUACGUGCCAGCAGCCGCGGUAAUACGUAGGGUGCAAGCGUUAAUCGGAAUUACUGGGCGUAAAGCGUGCGCAGGCGGUUUUGUAAGUCUGUCGUGAAAUCCCCGGGCUCAACCUGGGAAUUGCGAUGGAGACUGCAAGGCUAGAAUCUGGCAGAGGGGGGGUAGAAUUCCACGUGUAGCAGUGAAAUGCGUAGAGAUGUGAAGGAACACCGAUGGCGAAAGGCAGCUCCCCUGGGGUCAAGAUUUGACGCUCAUG